GACAGGAUUCUCAUGACAGUGCAGAAUCCUCUCCCUCUGCAGACCAUUGCCUCCAAUUGCUUCCUGCAGCAGCCAGAGGGAAUUCCAGCACCUGGGAGCCUGCCCAGGUCUGUGCCUUGGGGAGCAUCUGGAAGAGGUGGAUAGACAGCUCUCCCCACGCUCCCUCUGCCCACAGGAAGACGGAGGUGCCAGGAGCCUCAGGGCAGCUCCGCACCCACGAAAAACGCUGGAAUGUUGGUGCUGUGCUGAAGCAAACACCUUCAUAUUUUACAUUUCCAUUGUGAAUCGUUCUGCUCUGCUACCUGAAAGGCUGAGCAAUCCGUUCUUCACACUAACAAAUGGGCAGAAACAGAGCACACCACCAUGCUGAAGAGCAACAGCCUUCCUCCUCCUGUGUGCCAUGCGAGGCCCCCUGGGCUUUGAGCAGCUUCUGAGGAUGCUCUGUUGCAGCAUUCCUUCAUUCCCAGCAUAAGUGCCUCCGUAGCACUGAGCUGCAGCUGCUGGGGGCUGCAUGGUGACGUGGCUGGAGGCAGCACUGCUGGGUUACAUCCUUCAGGACAGUCCUGAUGGGAUCGUUGGGGUCAUACCGAAUCUUUUCUCUGUGGGACGUGAUGGUUUCGUAGCACCAGAGGGAAGACAAAGCACUAUGAAAAUGGAGACUGCAGAGAAGGUCCUCAGGAGUGAAUGCAGGAAAUGCCUCCCCUUUGGAAAUCCCUCGGUCUGAUCCCAGGAGUGAGAACAGCGAGCUGCGACAGAGUGCUCAGAGCAUGGGAAGCCAUACAACUUGCAAGAGGUUAACAAAUUGAAUUGAAUAUAAAUAUGAAACUAACAUCCUCACAAUUGUAAGCAGCUGUGUAAGAAGCUAUACAGGUCACCUGUGGACAUAGGCCAAAACACAGAACAAAUGAGGCUUGUGCAAAUAUUCCUUACGUUUGUGGUCAUAUGCUUGUGUCUACAACAGCACCAGGUGGCACACAGAAUGAAGCUGAGCAGACAAAACUGAUUUAUUCAGAUGCCAGUGCUACCAAACUUACAUUCUUCAAAUAAAUUUAAAACUGUGCUGCUUCUGUGAGUGAUA
This 1078-nucleotide long non-coding RNA is filed under the name Phasianus colchicus (ring-necked pheasant). RNAcentral describes it as "lncRNA (ENSPCLG00000012015.1)". The record is from RNAcentral. Lineage: Eukaryota; Metazoa; Chordata; Aves; Galliformes; Phasianidae.